UUUCCCUUGUGCCGCGUGCCCCCCCGCCCCCCCUCUCGACUGCCCUUGCCCAAACCUCGGGGUGCGCCCUCACCCUCCCGGGUUCCCCAGGGCGCCCGGACCCUCGGCCAGAUGGUCAUCGAGUGAGUGCCUACCAUGUGCCAGAUGUGUGCCAGGUGCUGGGAACACAGCAGGGGCGAGACAGACUGCCCGCAUCAAGUUUACAUAGGGAAGGGGAGGACAGUGUCUAUGCUCCAUGCUGGGCUCCAGCACAGGGCUUGAACCCACAGCCCUGAGAUCAAAACCUGGGC
Ailuropoda melanoleuca (giant panda) is the source of this 290-nucleotide long non-coding RNA. RefSeq lists it as uncharacterized. Lineage: Eukaryota; Metazoa; Chordata; Mammalia; Carnivora; Ursidae. The transcript has 3 exons. The record is from RefSeq and is a predicted model, not a curated record.